This 905-nucleotide ribosomal RNA is filed under the name uncultured archaeon. RNAcentral describes it as "bacterial SSU rRNA". It matches the Rfam family "Archaeal small subunit ribosomal RNA", at positions 21 to 903 of the family's 1478-position model. The record is from RNAcentral.
CCCCACUGCUAUCGGGAUAGGACUAAGACAUGCUAGUUGAGCGCUUCCAGCCAACACGGGAGCGCAGCGCACAGCUCAGUAACACGUGGCUAAUCUGCCCUUGGGACCGGAACACCCCCGGGAAACUGGGGCUAAUUCUCGAUAGGUGAAGAACUCUGGAAUGAGUCUUUGCCAAAAAGACGUUUGCGUUAUGCUCGUAGGCGUCGCCCAAGGAUGAGGCCGCGACCGAUCAGGUUGUUGGUGAGGUAAUGGCUCACCAAGCCUUUUACCGGUGCGGGCCGUGAGAGCGGGAGCCCGGAGAUGGGCACUGAGACAAGGGCCCAGGCCCUACGGGGCGCAGCAGUCGCGAAAACUUUGCAAUACACGAAAGUGUGACAGGGCUAUCCCGAGUGCCAUCCGCUGAGGAAGGCUUUUACCCAGUCUAGAACGCUGGGGGAAUAAGGAGAGGGCAAGUCUGGUGUCAGCCGCCGCGGUAAUACCAGCUCUCCGAGUGGUGUGGAUGUUUAUUGGGCCUAAAGCAUCCGUAGCUGGCUAAGUUAGUCCCUUGUUAAAUCCACCGAAUUAAUCGUUGGAUUGCGGGGGAUACUGCUUGGCUAGGGGACGAGAGAGGCAGACGGUAUUUCCGGGGUAGGGGUGAAAUCCUAUAAUCCCGGGAAGACCACCAGUGGCGAAGGCUGUCUGCUAGAACGCGCCCGACGGUGAGGGAUGAAAGCUGGGGGAGCGAACCGGAUUAGAUACCCGGGUAGUCCCAGCUGUAAACGAUGCACGCUAGGUGUUUGGACGGCCACGUGCCGUUCUAGUGCCGCAGGGAAGCUGUUAAGCCUGCCGCCUGGGGAGUACGAUCGCAAGAUUGAAACUUAAAGGAAUUGGCGGGGGAGCACCACAAGGGGUGAAGCUUGCGGUUU